Molecule: long non-coding RNA, 1713 nt
Organism: Zonotrichia leucophrys gambelii
Lineage: Eukaryota; Metazoa; Chordata; Aves; Passeriformes; Passerellidae
Exons: 4
Source: RefSeq, a predicted model, not a curated record
AGUUGCCUGGGAAACGUCAGAGCAGCGCAGGAGAUGGACAAAACAGCAAAACCUUGAACAGGGAGGGCUGACACGGGAGAAAAAUGAGUUUGCUCCUCAGAAAUGUGCAGAGACUCCAAUGCAGAGCUGGCUCUGCCUCUCUCCUCUCUCCCAGGUUCAAGUGUGCAGCUGCUGUCACUCAGAGCUACCUCUGCUGAAUAAUGUGAUCCUGCUCUCAUCCCUGCGAGGACACCAGUGCCAAGAAACCUAAGGUGUCCUGAUCAAUGCAGAAAAACAAGACCUGGCAGUUCUGCUCCUCCAGGAACAAAUUCCUUUAAAACUCAAGCCAUCAGAAGUGGAGCUUCCAUGAGGCCCAGGUAUCUCAUCCUGUGAGCACAUGGGAAGGAGGAGGAAGGCACAUGUCUCUACCUAACCCCCUGCCCCAGAGCAGGAAUGGGUGUAGCAGCCCUGCUGAGUCUCUGAGCUCACCCCAGCCGUGCUGAGCCCAUGGCUGUCAGUGAGCAGAGCAGCAGCAUCACAGGAUCUGCUGGAUGAUGACUGUUACAAAAAUCAGGAUUCUUGGAUUGAUUCUGCAAGACUCCACACAGGCCAGUUGUGACCCAGAAAAAGAGAAAUUACUAAAGCCAUGCUUUGAAAAGUGCUUGACUUGAGGCCCAUGGCUCAUCCCACUCUAAUCAUGCCCUGCUGCUCAGCACUGCAGAGAGUCCAUCUCUUAUUAAGGUCCUUAAAGACAAAAAAAAGGAUUUAUUUCAGCAAUUGUGAGGGUCCUCUCUGGCGCUACUCCUCAGGAGGAAAACAACUACCUGGGCAAGGAGAACUCUUGCUCCUCUUGCACUAAGUGCAGAGCCUGCAGGUUUUUCCCUGGGGAGUGGGGCUGAUGGAUGGGGUCCCUGUCCUGUCACAGAAAAUCCACACAGGGACACUGUCCCCUGUCCCUGUGAGAGGCACAUGAGGGAACAUCCCAGGCUUCAAGAUUCACCCCCAAGUUCCAAGAGCUGCAGCACACAUGGUGUGAAGCUCAUGGCCAACAAGCUCCGUAUCCUCCCAGAGCAAUGAGAGGUGGGCAAGCUCAGCGAGAAAAUCCAUGAGGCAUGAAUAUGAAAAUGCAGAGCCGGAACUGCUAACAUCCAUGAGAGAUUGUCAUGAAUUCUCUGAAUAAUUUGGCUGAGCAAACUCCCUGAUAUUCAUGUCUUGCAUGCUGCUGGAGUCCAUUGCUCUCCCAAGGCUUUAUGGGAACACCAUUUGUCCUGCAGUAAUAGGGCAGAAAAGCUGGAAGCUGGAGCUAAGAAUUUCACUUGCUCAAAUAAACAGGAACACAAAGGAAAGGAGCUGUGGUUGAAGUUCUGCUUCUCUUCCAUUCCCUCACCUCCAUGAGAUUCAGUUUUGCCCUUCCACAGUAUUUUCCAAAGAUGAUCAACACAGUUCUCUCUGGUGCAUGCAGCACAUUUCCCUUUUGCCCCAACCAAAGAAAAGAUCUACUUCAUACUCUGAAUCAUUUUCAAGAUGGUAUCCCAGCAACAAGCAUCCAGCAGUGUGUAUGUAAAACUGGCUCUACUUAGAUAAAUAGCAGAAAAGGCUGCAGUUUCUUUCAAAGACCCAAAUGACAUUUAAAUUUUCCUUUCAGAGACACGUAGUAAACGGAAGGAAUAAAUCAGCUGAUUCAGAAAGCAGCGCCUCAGAUUUUUUUUGCACACUUUGUCUUGUUUGCUAUCA